RNAcentral lists this ribosomal RNA (502 nucleotides) under uncultured Acidobacteriaceae bacterium. RNAcentral describes it as "bacterial SSU rRNA". It matches the Rfam family "Bacterial small subunit ribosomal RNA", at positions 8 to 491 of the family's 1533-position model. The record is from RNAcentral. Lineage: Bacteria; Pseudomonadati; Acidobacteriota; Terriglobia; Terriglobales; Acidobacteriaceae.
AGAGUUUGAUCAUGGCUCAGAAUCAACGCUGGCGGCGUGCCUAACACAUGCAAGUCGAACGCGAAAGGGACUUCGGUCCUGAGUAGAGUGGCGAACGGGUGAGUAACGCGUGGGUGACCUACCCUUGAGUGGGGGAUAACGUUCCGAAAGGGACGCUAAUACCGCAUGACAUUCCUGGUUUGAAGACUGGGAAAUCAAAGCCGGGGACCGUAAGGCCUGGCGCUUGAGGAGGGGCCCGCGUCUGAUUAGCUAGUUGGCGGGGUAACGGCCCACCAAGGCGACGAUCAGUAGCCGGCCUGAGAGGGCGGACGGCCACACUGGGACUGAGACACGGCCCAGACUCCUACGGGAGGCAGCAGUCGAGAGGCUUCGGCAAUGGGGGAAACCCUGACCGAGCGACGCCGCGUGGAGGAUGAAGGCCUUUGGGUCGUAAACUCCUUUCGUGGGGAAAGAAUGUGUUCGAGGUGAAUAAUCUCGAGCAUGACGUACCCCAAGAAGAGUC